CCUACGGGAGGCACCAGUGGGGAAUAUUGCACAAUGGGCGCAAGCCUGAUGCAGCGACGCCGCGUGGGGGAUGAAGGCCUUCGGGUUGUAAACUCCUUUCGCUAGGGACGAAGCCUUUUUGAGGUGACGGUACCUGGAUAAGAAGCACCGGCUAACUACGUGCCAGCAGCCGCGGUAAUACGUAGGGUGCAAGUGUUGUCCGGAAUUACUGGGCGUAAGGAGCUCGUAGGUGGUUUGUCGCGUCGUCUGUGAAAUUCCGGGGCUUAACUCCGGGCGUGCAGGCGAUACGGGCAUAACUUGAGUGCUGUAGGGGAGACUGGAAUUCCUGGUGUAGCGGUGAAAUGCGCAGAUAUCAGGAGGAACACCGAUGGCGAAGGCAGGUCUCUGGGCAGUAACUGACGCUGAGGAGCGAAAGCAUGGGUAGCGAACAGGAUUAGAUACCCCCGUAGU
RNAcentral lists this ribosomal RNA (450 nucleotides) under uncultured bacterium. Its description in RNAcentral is "bacterial SSU rRNA". It matches the Rfam family "Bacterial small subunit ribosomal RNA", at positions 338 to 794 of the family's 1533-position model. The record is from RNAcentral.